This 75-nucleotide small RNA is filed under the name Arabidopsis thaliana (thale cress). Its description in RNAcentral is "ATSL065650". The record is from RNAcentral. Lineage: Eukaryota; Viridiplantae; Streptophyta; Magnoliopsida; Brassicales; Brassicaceae.
AAAAAAUUUAAAAAAUAAUGUUUAAUUUCACCGAACAGGAUUAGAUGGUAUGACGGGUUUAGAAUAUUAAAAUAU